This 615-nucleotide ribosomal RNA is filed under the name Celeribacter sp. Its description in RNAcentral is "bacterial SSU rRNA". It matches the Rfam family "Bacterial small subunit ribosomal RNA", at positions 159 to 806 of the family's 1533-position model. Lineage: Bacteria; Pseudomonadati; Pseudomonadota; Alphaproteobacteria; Rhodobacterales; Roseobacteraceae. The record is from RNAcentral.
GGGUUUAAUACCGUAUACGCCCUUCGGGGGAAAGAAUUUCGGUGAGGGAUCGGCCCGCGUUAGAUUAGUUAGUUGGUGGGGUAAUGGCCUACCAAGACUACGAUCUAUAGCUGGUUUGAGAGGAUGAUCAGCAACACUGGGACUGAGACACGGCCCAGACUCCUACGGGAGGCAGCAGUGGGGAAUCUUAGACAAUGGGGGCAACCCUGAUCUAGCGAUGCCGCGUGAGUGAUGAAGGCCUUAGGGUCGUAAAGCUCUUUCGCCUGUGAUGAUAAUGACAGUAGCAGGUAAAGAAACCCCGGCUAACUCCGUGCCAGCAGCCGCGGUAAUACGGAGGGGGUUAGCGUUGUUCGGAAUUACUGGGCGUAAAGCGCACGUAGGCGGAUUAGUCAGUCAGAGGUGAAAUCCCAGGGCUCAACCCUGGAACUGCCUUUGAUACUGCUAGUCUUGAGUUCGAGAGAGGUAAGUGGAAUUCCGAGUGUAGAGGUGAAAUUCGUAGAUAUUCGGAGGAACACCAGUGGCGAAGGCGGCUUACUGGCUCGAUACUGACGCUGAGGUGCGAAAGUGUGGGGGAGCAAACAGGCAUUAAAUACCCUGGGUAGUCCACACCCGUAA